RNAcentral lists this ribosomal RNA (420 nucleotides) under Shigella boydii. RNAcentral describes it as "partial 23S ribosomal RNA". It matches the Rfam family "Bacterial large subunit ribosomal RNA", at positions 948 to 1365 of the family's 2925-position model. The record is from RNAcentral. Lineage: Bacteria; Pseudomonadati; Pseudomonadota; Gammaproteobacteria; Enterobacterales; Enterobacteriaceae.
UGCAAACUGCGAAUACCGGAGAAUGUUAUCACGGGAGACACACGGCGGGUGCUAACGUCCGUCGUGAAGAGGGAAACAACCCAGACCGCCAGCUAAGGUCCCAAAGUCAUGGUUAAGUGGGAAACGAUGUGGGAAGGCCCAGACAGCCAGGAUGUUGGCUUAGAAGCAGCCAUCAUUUAAAGAAAGCGUAAUAGCUCACUGGUCGAGUCGGCCUGCGCGGAAGAUGUAACGGGGCUAAACCAUGCACCGAAGCUGCGGCAGCGACGCUUAUGCGUUGUUGGGUAGGGGAGCGUUCUGUAAGCCUGUGAAGGUGUGCUGUGAGGCAUACUGGAGGUAUCAGAAGUGCGAAUGCUGACAUAAGUAACGAUAAAGCGGGUGAAAAGCCCGCUCGCCGGAAGACCAAGGGUUCCUGUCCAACGU